Molecule: long non-coding RNA, 2110 nt
Organism: Pipistrellus kuhlii (Kuhl's pipistrelle)
Lineage: Eukaryota; Metazoa; Chordata; Mammalia; Chiroptera; Vespertilionidae
Exons: 2
Source: RefSeq, a predicted model, not a curated record
CCAUGAUUCUCUCUCACCAUUGAUGUUUCUAUCUCUCCCUUUUCCUUCCUCUCUGAAAUCAAUAAAAAUAUAUUUAUAAAUAAAUAAAUUUUAAAAAAUAAAGUUGUACUUUAUGCUGAGGUUUUAUAAAAUGGUGUUAAUGGUAGGUAGCUGUUUUGUUAAUAUUCUUUGACAAAAUUAAAGUUGACAUUUUAACUUAAAAGCUUUUGAAAUCUCACACUCUGGAACCCAUUAGUUUAAAUGACUUUUAGAAGGCCUUCCAACUGAGAUUCUAUGAUUUUUGUGUAUAUAUUUGAUGUUUCCUCAUUUGUUUCCAGCACUGACAAAUACCCAGCAAAAUGAUAUGAGUGGCCAUAGCCUUUUCAAAUGUUAUUUCAUUUUAUUCAAUCUUAAGAUUUAAAUUUUUCAGACUUAAAGAAGGACAAAGCCUCAGCAGUUGAAGAAUUACCUGUUUUAGGUCCUGCUAUUUUAAAGUUACAAGACAUUCUGUGCUUAUUGAAUCAGCAGCAGCUCUGGUGUAAUGGAAGGAGUCUUCUAAAAUGUGCCAAAAUGCAAUUUCUAACUCCUGGAUCAGAUGAAUUCAUUAAAAUGUAAUCAAAAGUGUAGGCCUAGGGUGGUCUGGGUGAAGGAAGUGGGGGAGGGGAGCAUGGGAAAUGGGGACAUCUGUAAUACAAUCUGCAAUUUAAAAGUACAGGAUAAAAUUUUAGACUUUGAGGAAGAUAUCACAUCUAGUUCAAUAAUCAUAUUUUUAAAUGCUUUACAAUUUUCACAUAUCAAUUAUGCCCUACUAGGACAAAAGUGGCUUGCCCAAGAUGAUACAGGUGAUAUUAGAGGCAAAAAAAGGACUAGAACCCCAACCUCUAACAGAAAGAUAAAAAGGAAAGGGUAGGAUGCAAAUUGGGACAGUCACACCACAAUGAUUACUUCUAUGUUUAUAGAGAGGCCAAGAUGAAUUGAAAAAAAAAAAAAAUGUUAAGCCCUAGUGUUUACCUAAGAAAAGGUCACUGGUAACCAGAGUAUGUUUUGAGUAAAAUGAUAAGGACAAGCACCAGAAGUAUAGCUAGAUGUUGUAAGAAGGAAAAUAAAACACAAGGGCAGCCUGCCAAUUUCUAGAAUUGAUUGGUGCAAAUAAGUAGAAAAAAUGGAAUGCCUUAGAAUAUGUCACUGUUUCAGGUGUUAACUGUUACACAGUCUCAUGUAUUGUACAAUGGGUUAUCAGAUAAGUUAGUGGAGUGAUAGAAAACAUGAGAACAUCAGAAAUGUCCUUUUGGGUCAGAGUGAUAAUCCAUUCAGCCUGUUUUCCAGUCAUUGGCAAUGACAGCAAUUUCUGUGUCUCUUCCCUCCUGUGCUGUUAUUCAGAAGGUUUUGUGAAAGUAGACUGCUGCAUCUGUGAUAGCAACUUCAAACACAUUUGAGAUAUUCCAUGAACAUUUCUUACUUUUUAUGUAGCCAUUCAUUUCAAUCAAUUUUAUUUGAACUUAUGCUUUUGACUCAUAAGGCUUCAAGAUUGAUAAAUUCCAUGUGUAUGCAAUUAAUCAUUUAUAUAUAUAAAAUAUUCACUAUUCUUUUCCUUAUAAAAGUGACAUAUAUUCUCUUGAAAAUUUUAGGUAAAUCAGAAAAAAGAAAACAAAAAUCUCUUAGAGAUAAUCAACACAUGUUUACAUUUUGAGUUAUAUAAAUGUACAGUCUUUUUUCUGUGUAUAUCAUGUGUGUAUAUUGUAUGUAUAUGUGUGUAUACAUAUAUUUGAUUUUAUUUCUUAAAACUUGCAACAAGUAAUCAUAGUGUACAUUUAGUUUUGAGACUUGUUUUUUUCAUUUAGUGAUUUGUUGGAGUCAUGUUCCCAUAUGAGUAAAUAAUCUUCCAAAAUAUCAUUUUUAAUGUCUAUAUAUUAAAUAUGUAUUGUAUUGAUGGAACAAUAUUUAACCAAUCCCAAGUUAGUAUUGCAGAUAUUUUCAAACUUUUGCUAAUAGUAUAAACAAUGCUUUAAUGAAUAUUCCUGUAGUAAAUCUUAGCUCAUAUCCAAAAUUAAUUGGUUAAGGUAUAUUUCUUGAAAUCCUACUAGUCUUAAAGCCCCUUAUAUAAUAAACAACAACUUCUGGUUCUGUUUUG